This 442-nucleotide ribosomal RNA is filed under the name uncultured bacterium. RNAcentral describes it as "partial 16S ribosomal RNA". It matches the Rfam family "Bacterial small subunit ribosomal RNA", at positions 338 to 795 of the family's 1533-position model. The record is from RNAcentral.
CCUACGGGAGGCAGCAGUGGGGAAUAUUGGGCAAUGGACGCAAGUCUGACCCAGCAACGCCGCGUGAAGGAAGAAGGCUUUCGGGUUGUAAACUUCUUUUCAGGGGGAAGAGCAGAAGACGGUACCCCUUGAAUAAGCCACGGCUAACUACGUGCCAGCAGCCGCGGUAAUACGUAGGUGGCAAGCGUUGUCCGGAUUUACUGGGUGUAAAGGGCGUGCAGCCGGAGAGACAAGUCAGAUGUGAAAUCAACGGGCUCAACCCGUGAACUGCAUUUGAACAUGUUUCCCUUGAGUGUCGGAGAGGUAAUCGGAAUUCCUUGUGUAGCGGUGAAAUGCGGAGAUAUAAGGAAGAACACCAGUGGCGAAGGCGGAUUACUGGACGAUAACUGACGCUGAGGCUCGAAAGCGUGGGGAGCGAACAGGAUUAGAUACCCUGGUAGUC